Molecule: long non-coding RNA, 663 nt
Organism: Beta vulgaris subsp. vulgaris (sugar beet)
Lineage: Eukaryota; Viridiplantae; Streptophyta; Magnoliopsida; Caryophyllales; Amaranthaceae
Exons: 2
Source: RefSeq, a predicted model, not a curated record
AGUAUGAGUUAUCAAGGAUUUUUUAAAUUAGUAUAGUAGUACUAAUACUAGGAGGUAUAUGUAAUUGCAGUUUUAAUGAUGGGAAAGGUUUUUGAAAUAUUUUUAAAGAGGGUUUAAAGUAUUUUAAUAUUGUUGCAAAUUUAUAAAGUAUUGAUUUGUGGUUAUGUUGAUUAUUGGUAGGCGGAGAAUUCUCUUUGGCGACUUUUAACCUUAUCAAAGUGACCUCGAACUUUGUCUACACAAGGAUCUCUAGACAUGUCUGAUAGAGAAGAUAUUCGAGUAGAGAGCUAUACCAACCCGAUUGUGUUGAGCGAUGAUGAGAAUGAUGGAGAAUCUGAUUAUGAUUGUGAUAGUUUACUAACCUAAACUUGGAGAUGCAUAAUGUGUUGAAAGUUAGCAGUCCGGAUAAUGAUGAUAAGGUCAUUCGGGAGUUUGACUGUGCUGGGAGGAAAACUCGAAAGGAUAUCUACUAUGCCGUAAUGAGGAGUGUUUUUGGUGAGUCGAGGUUUUACUCUAACAGAUGAGGAUGAUGAUGACUUAGAGGAUGAUGACGACUUGGAGGAUGAUAAUGAUAAUGUAUCUCCUUAACUAUGUAUUUAUGCUUUAAGAAUAAUUGUUGGAUAAGCAGUCAAGCAAUGGUUUAAAUUUAUUUCUUUAGUACCU